AUUCAGAGCUUGAACAGGGAAAAGGGAUGCUAUUUAUUGGAGGUCCCCUUGGCCCCCAAUAGAGGAAAUGAGAUGAAAGUAGGCAUAGAUGGCAGCAAGGACUGCUUGAGAAACCCCGCUUACCAGUGAAGAGGGUAAGAAGCAGAAACAAAACAAGACGAGGAGCCAGAAGGGGAGGAAGAGCACAGAGAUCUAGACCUAAUUCAACCGCUGUGUGCAUAUUCAUUAUGCACAGUGGAGUAUCUACAUAUGGCACCUGAAAAAUAUCACUGAAUUAAUAAUUUAAGUCAUGAUUAUGCCUCUAAUUUCCUACCAUAUUCUACUAAAUAGACACUGUAAUGAAAAGCAUAUUUUAUUUACAAUUAUAGUUUAUGAACCCAAAUGUAAACUGACAGUAAUGAGAAGAUGGUGUCACUAAAUCCAUUUUAAUGUAAAUUGCCACAUUUAAAAUAUUCUGAAAGCAGUAAGGGCAGUUAAUGAACCUAGUACUGAUAUUCUUGUCAGAAAUGCAUGGCUUCAACCCUGAUCUUCUGUUUCAGACUGGAUGAUGAUCACUUCCUCAUCGAUUAAGUGUUUAUUGUUUCUCCUCCGGAUACUCUAAUUACAACUGUUUUUCUUCCCUGCCCCCUCGCAGCUAUCAGCAAACCUGGUUUGAAUUAGAAAGGAACAACUCUUUGGCUAUAAACACAAAUCUGUCUCCCAAGCAGGAGCUCACUUGCUGUGUGUAAAGCGGGAAAAAGUGAUGAUGUAACAAGGGUAAUUAUAACCUGAGCUAGCUGGUGUCACUGAAGGGAAGAGCCUGUCAGCAUUUCACUGUGAAUAAUAAUACCCAUGCCUCUGCUGACACCAAAUGCCAAGUGUUAGUGCUUUGGUUCUCAGAGGGCUUUAAGUCUAAGACUGCAAAUUUUAAUUGAGGAAUGUGCUACAAAAUGUUCUGCUUGCUGCAACCACGGUACUAUAAUGUGUAGUCUUUUUUUUUUCUCUAGAAUUGGAAGCUACUCCUGUACUUAAGGCCAAGCCUUUAGAAAGGCACCAGGAGAAUCAUCAUCCAGACCAAAGACCUGCCAGCCAUCAGUGUCAUCACCUCCUACAUUUGCUAACAUAUUUGCUUUUGAGGCAUUUGGUAUAAAAAGUAAUUCAACGAAGAGCCAUUUCUUCAAGCUUGAGUGUCAACCCGGCCAAGGGAGUGAAGAGGAGCGAGACAGGAAGCUCGCACACGUGGAGCACCAGCGGCGGAAAAGCCACUGCACUGUGUAUCUAAUCACAUAAACUCACUGAAAUCAGCGCAUUUAUCAAUGACUUCUCAACAAAUAUUGAUUUUUUUCUUCUGAUUAAAUCAACCUCACUGCUUGAACUGACUGACUUACAAAAAAAAAAGGUUGGAUCAAGAAUAGGGGUUAACUUUUAUUCCAUUCAUAAUGCAAAUAUUUAUCACAUCCUGAUUCUGCAGCAACUACAUGGGCCCUUAGUUUGUCAUCAUUGUAUUGAGUGGUAAUAGAAACCCAGAAAGAGUAAACAAUGUUUCCAAAGGGACACUACAGUCCCCAUUGCUGGUAUGCGGGAGGCCUGCCUUUCCGUACCAGGUAUAACAGGAUCCAGAGCAAUCUUGGCCUUUGCAUUUCACUCUACAAUUACACAUAUGAUUUCAUCUGUAUUCCUAACGCCGGGUCUCAGAGGCAGCAUGAACUUCAGUGCAUUUCAUGGGGACAUGCUGUUAACACCCUGCCUUGCUGACCUCAGGCCAUCACGAAAACAUGUAUUUAUGUUCAAAAACCAGGUGCCCAGUUUGCCUAUAUGAUAUGUGACUCUACUAGAAACAAAACUGCGUUCUCAGUAACAACAUUGUCAGCAAUUGUCAACAUAGGAUAUAGACAAUUUGGAGUUUCCAGAGAAUAAAUCAGUCAGGAGCAGAAAGGGAUUGUUUCUGUCAGAGACACCGUUUCCUUCUAUAAAUCGCUGCUUUGCAGGUAGGUAAGGACCCCACACUUGCCUCCCACUUACCUUCUGUUCCAUCCAAGAGUGCUACUCCUUUGGGAAUAAAUACCUGCAAUUUAAACUGGGCUUUGAGGGAAUAUUUUCGUGCCAUAUUAUCUGGUCCAUCUCAUGAAGUUUGGUUUAAGUUUUAGUUUUCUUUAUUUUCCAUAAUGAGCCACAUUCAACAUGUCUUGUAUUCGCAAAACAACAAUGAAUUGAAUAACUUCUGUUCUGAGAUUUUUCCUUAUAGUGUUGUUAGGAUAGAAAAUCCAGCUGUAUUAGAUGACAAUGCUGACAUCCUUCUCCAUGACCUCUCAACCUGGUAUUGUAUUAAAGGGCCAUUUUGUGGCUUUUUAAAAUCUCAUGAAUUCAUUAGGGAAGCUAAACGAGCCCACUUUCAGAUUGCUCAGCAAGAUUCCUUCCCUUCCUCUUUGCUUUUCCUGUCCCUACAUUUGUAAUCCAAAAAUCAGAGAAGCAAAAACAUCAUCACUAUGGAGAUAUUCAUGUGCCUUAUUCUUCCUUCUUUCUGGCUGUGAAAAAUAAGUCUGUGCAGAACACGCAACACUGUAAUUGACUCUCUGGUACAGCUGCCAUUGGGUCUUUCCUAUAAGAAAUUAUAUUAGCCUUCCUUUUAAAUGUGUUCAGGGUAAUAAGUCAUCCUUGACAUUCACCAUUCAUACAACAAAAUGUCUGUGUUACAAAAUCAGCCCCAAGCUUAUCAAAUAAUUAAUACCAGAUUUGUAACUGACACAGAUGAUGUCAGGUUUUUGUAUUAAGUAGGACCUUGAUCCCCAGCAUUUACUGGUUGCAAUCCUUUCACGAACAGAUUAACAUCUGCCAAUGAGUAAUACUUGGUUUCAGGAAAGAACAGCUUUUAUUGAUUUUAUUCCUAUGAUGUUUACUAGGUUGCCAACAUUUGAAGCCAAAUAUUUUUUUUUAUCCACCACAGAGCACGAAAUGGCCAAGCAAUCUCUUUCAUAAUUUUUUAAGCCUUGAGGGAAUCAUAUUUAAGGAUAAGAAAAUGCCUAUUAAGUCCUUGGCAAGGAGUCACUUCAGAAAUCAUCAAUGAGCUAACUGCCUCUAUACUUCUGGGUGAUGUCAAUCUGUUGAGUAGGAAAUAGGAAGAAAUUCUAUGACCCAGGUCUCAUAGAAAAGACUUUGAGUUACUAACUAUGUUAUCUAGCUCUCAAUUAAAAAAAAGAAAGAAAGAAAGAAAAUGCUCCUAAAUUAGUCAAGUGUCUCACUGUUGGAGUGGAAAGUUACAGAAAUGCAAGAAGGGAGUCUACUAUGAUCCAUGAGCAUUAGAUCUGGGGAGCUCCAUAUGAACUCCUGUGUAGAUUAUUACAGAUACAGAUGGUUACAUAGAGAAAUAUUUAUAGAUACAUAAAUAUACAUGGGUUAGUCUGCACACAUGUAUUUUUUGUUCCCUCAGCUGAGAGAACAUAGAAGCGAUGACACUGUAGUGGCAACCAACAUACCUGUCAUCAGACCUUGUUUUCCGAACCCUUUCUCCAAUUAAGGGAACCAGGGUUCCUUGGAGAAAUAACUGACCCGUAACACUGGGGCAGUAAACACACAAAUUUAAGCUGGAUCAUCUUGUAAUGUCAGAAAGCAAGAAAGUGUUAAAAAAAAAAAAAAACCCACAAUGAUGGGGACAUAUUAAAGGGACUCAGAGACCAACUAAAAAAGUUCCAAAUGGCCAAAGUUGUAACAAUUUGAGCAAUAAAGUAAAACAGUAUUGGAUUAUAACCCAAAGUAUAAAAUAAACAUCCGUGAGUCCAUAUUGAUAUAAAUAAAUGGUUGAAAAGUAAAUAGGGAAGAAUAGACUAAUCUCCUGUGUAGAAGAAUUCCAAGUAACUCAGGGAUAUAUUUCACCCUCAGGGAGGAAGACAUAAUUCUCCACUCCUUAAGUGUGGGCUGAACAGUGAGUAUUCUCCAAUGGAUACAGGAUGGAAAGGGGAAACAAACAAACAAAAAAACCUAACAAGCACUACUCCAGCCAGUUGAUCAAGGCUGAUAUUUACAGUGCGAAUUCACAGGGAUAGCAUGAACCCUUGCUACGAUGUGAUGAGAAUGGCAUUGUGCUCUGUGGUCUUCCAACAACCAUAACCCUUGUCUCAUCAUGAGGAAAACAUCAGACAAAUCCCAAACUGAGAGACAGUCUCCAAAGCACUUGGUCAGUACUCCUCAAAUGGCCAAGGUCAUCAAAAACAAGGAAAGUUUGAGAAUCUGUCACAGGGAAGAGGAGCCUAAGGAGACAUGACAACUAAAUAUGUAUUAUGUGAUAUCUUAGAUAAAAUCCUGGAACAGAAACAAGGACAGCAGGUAAAAACUUAAGGAAAUCUGAAUGAAGUGUGGGCUUUAGUUAAUAAUCAUGCAUCAGUAUCGCUUCAUCUACUAUGACAAAUGUACCAUUGGAAUAUUAGAGGCUAAUAAUUGGAAAAACUGCAUGUGGGGGUCUGUGGGAAUUCUUUGUACUAUUGUCACAAUUUUUCUCUAAAAAUCUAAUUUAUUCUAAAAUAAAAAAAGCUUAUUAAAAUUUUUAAAAAUACUCCCAAAUUUACUCUUUCUUAUUAUU
Molecule: long non-coding RNA, 4552 nt
Organism: Lemur catta (Ring-tailed lemur)
Lineage: Eukaryota; Metazoa; Chordata; Mammalia; Primates; Lemuridae
Exons: 3
Source: RefSeq, a predicted model, not a curated record